This is a non-coding RNA of Thamnophis sirtalis, 638 nucleotides long. The record is from RefSeq and is a predicted model, not a curated record. Lineage: Eukaryota; Metazoa; Chordata; Lepidosauria; Squamata; Natricidae.
GAACCAUCUCUGUAUACCAUUAAAGCAAUUUUCAUCUUGGACAGCUUUGGGCAGCGACUUUUGGCUAAGUAUUAUGACAACACAUUUUCAUCAACAAAAGAACAGAAGAGCUUUGAGAGAAAUGUCUUCAACAAAACUCAUAAGACAGAAAGUGAGAUUGCUUUCUUAGAAGGCUUAACUAUAGUCUAUAAAAGCAGCAUUGAUCUUUUCUUUUAUGUGGUGGGGAGUUCCCAUGAAAAUGAGUUAAUGCUGAUGUCAGUUCUUUCCUGUCUCUUUGAAUCCCUCAGUCAUAUGCUGCGAAAGAAUGUGGAGAAACGAAUUCUGAUAGAAAACAUGGAUGGGGUAUUCCUUGUAGUGGAUGAGAUUGUUGAUGGAGGUGUGAUUAUGGAAAGUGAUUCCCAGCAAGUCAUCCAGAAGCUGAAUUUUAGAACAAAUCCGGAGCCUGCAGCUUAUGGCUUCAUUCUCUUUGAUUAUAUCACCAGCAAUUCGGAUCAAAGUGAAAUUAUAUCGGAAAAGUUGUACAAAUAUUGAAACAUCUUUCAAAGUGGGAAGCAGAAGUGGAUGACAGCUCUUUAGCAGAGCACAGUGUCACUCAGGUGCUGCAAUCUGCCAAAGAACAAAUUAAGUGGUCCUUAUUA